This 600-nucleotide ribosomal RNA is filed under the name Kocuria sp. SCAU9. Its description in RNAcentral is "bacterial SSU rRNA". It matches the Rfam family "Bacterial small subunit ribosomal RNA", at positions 92 to 704 of the family's 1533-position model. Lineage: Bacteria; Bacillati; Actinomycetota; Actinomycetes; Micrococcales; Micrococcaceae. The record is from RNAcentral.
UGAGUGGCGAACGGGUGAGUAAUACGUGAGUAACCUGCCCUUGACUCUGGGAUAAGCCUGGGAAACUGGGUCUAAUACUGGAUAUGACAUGUCACUGCAUGGUGGUGUGUGGAAAGGGUUUUACUGGUUUUGGAUGGGCUCACGGCCUAUCAGCUUGUUGGUGGGGUAAUGGCCUACCAAGGCGACGACGGGUAGCCGGCCUGAGAGGGUGACCGGCCACACUGGGACUGAGACACGGCCCAGACUCCUACGGGAGGCAGCAGUGGGGAAUAUUGCACAAUGGGCGGAAGCCUGAUGCAGCGACGCCGCGUGAGGGAUGACGGCCUUCGGGUUGUAAACCUCUUUCAGCACGGAAGAAGCGAGAGUGACGGUACGUGCAGAAGAAGCGCCGGCUAACUACGUGCCAGCAGCCGCGGUAAUACGUAGGGCGCAAGCGUUGUCCGGAAUUAUUGGGCGUAAAGAGCUCGUAGGCGGUUUGUCGCGUCUGCUGUGAAAGCCCGGGGCUUAACCCCGGGUGUGCAGUGGGUACGGGCAGACUUGAGUGCAGUAGGGGAGACUGGAAUUCCUGGUGUAGCGGUGAAAUGCGCAGAUAUCAGGAAG